CCUACGGGUGGCAGCAGUGGGGAAUAUUGCACAAUGGGGGAAACCCUGAUGCAGCGACGCCGCGUGAGUGAAGAAGUAUUUCGGUAUGUAAAGCUCUAUCAGCAGGGAAGAAAUAGCGACCUUUGGGUCGCCAGACGGUACCUGAUUAAGAAGCCCCGGCUAACUACGUGCCAGCAGCCGCGGUAAUACGUAGGGGGCAAGCGUUAUACGGAUUUACUGGGUGUAAAGGGAGCGUAGACGGCAGCGCAAGUCUGAAGUGAACUGCCGGGGCUUAACCCCGGAACUGCUGUGGAUACUGUGCAGCUAGAGUGCAGGAGAGGGAAGUGGAAUUCCUAGUGUAGCGGUGAAAUGCGUAGAUAUUAGGAGGAACACCAGUGGCGAAGGCGGCUUACUGGACUGUAACUGACGUUGAGGCUCGAAAGCGUGGGGAGCAAACAGGAUUAGAUACCCUUGUAGUC
RNAcentral lists this ribosomal RNA (458 nucleotides) under uncultured bacterium. RNAcentral describes it as "partial 16S ribosomal RNA". It matches the Rfam family "Bacterial small subunit ribosomal RNA", at positions 338 to 795 of the family's 1533-position model. The record is from RNAcentral.